Molecule: long non-coding RNA, 739 nt
Filed under: Nicotiana benthamiana
Lineage: Eukaryota; Viridiplantae; Streptophyta; Magnoliopsida; Solanales; Solanaceae
Description: long non-coding RNA (NBEN_LNC004616)
Source: RNAcentral
GACUACUCACCUACUCCUCCUUCUCUCUACUUUCUCUCUCUAUAACUUUCAUGAUUCAUCUGCUUAAUCUCGAUGUUAACAUGGUAUCAGAGCCUCGACGACGAUCCGAUCAUGUUUCUGUGUGAUUCGUGGUCUUGGAUGAAGUCUGUUUCGAGGUGUUUGGGGGUGAUUUCUGAGACCUUUUCGUCGAUGAUGAUUUCAAUCUAUCGGAGACCUUUCUGAGUGUCUCUUUGUGAUAUCCGAGUGUGUUUUCCUCUCCUGAACACUCUAGAAUGAUUUUGUGAUGAUUUUGGUUGGUUGAUUUUGGGUGACUUAUCGGCUUCUAGGAUUUCUGACGGUUUAACCUGAGGUUUUACCGUAUUCCGGUGGCUCGAUUAUCACUUUGUGGACAUUUUGGGUGCAUUUCCGACGUUCCUGACUAGAUUUCCGGUAAAGUUUGUUUUCUCAAAGCUAUACCUAGGGUUUCUGUUAUUCUGAAGGCCGAUCUUCUCCGGUUGCGAAGAAGGAGGGUAACUCUGUCCUUAUCUCAGAUAUUAUAUGCGAUUAUUUGACUCUGUUCUUGUGAGCAUCUGGUGUUGUUUGUGAAUAGUUGACCUGACUGUAGUCCGUUUGUUGGUUGUUGUGUUUGAAUACUUGUUUUGGUAGUAUUCUUUUUGUUGAAAAGUUAUUCAUUUAAGCCAGUCCAUUAACUAUGGCUUCUAGCACAAACAGUGGUGCCUCCCCAACUGUAGACUCCUCU